This 74-nucleotide ribosomal RNA is filed under the name Alteromonadaceae bacterium. RNAcentral's name for it is "partial 16S ribosomal RNA". It matches the Rfam family "Bacterial small subunit ribosomal RNA", at positions 1 to 71 of the family's 1533-position model. Lineage: Bacteria; Pseudomonadati; Pseudomonadota; Gammaproteobacteria; Alteromonadales; Alteromonadaceae. The record is from RNAcentral.
AUUUAAUUGAAGAGUUUGAUCAUGGCUCAGAUUGAACGCUGGCGGCAGGCCUAACACAUGCAAGUCGAACGGUA